This 496-nucleotide ribosomal RNA is filed under the name uncultured bacterium. RNAcentral's name for it is "partial 16S ribosomal RNA". It matches the Rfam family "Bacterial small subunit ribosomal RNA", at positions 29 to 507 of the family's 1533-position model. The record is from RNAcentral.
ACGAACGCUGGCGGCUUGCCUAAUACAUGCAAGUUGAGCGAUGAAGAUUGGUGCUUGCACCACUUUGAAGAGCAGCGAACGGGUGAGUAACGCGUGGGGAAUCUGCCUUUGAGCGGGGGACAACAUUUGGAAACGAAUGCUAAUACCGCAUAACAACUUUAAACAUAAGUUUUAAGUUUGAAAGAUGCAAUUGCAUCACUCAAAGAUGAUCCCGCGUUGUAUUAGCUAGUUGGUGAGGUAAAGGCUCACCAAGGCGAUGAUACAUAGCCGACCUGAGAGGGUGAUCGGCCACAUUGGGACUGAGACACGGCCCAAACUCCUACGGGAGGCAGCAGUAGGGAAUCUUCGGCAAUGGACGAAAGUCUGACCGAGCAACGCCGCGUGAGUGAAGAAGGGUUUCGGAUCGUAAAACUCUGUUGGUAGAGAAGAACGUUGGUGAGAGUGGAAAGCUCAUCAAGUGACGGUAACUACCCAGAAAGGGGCGGCUAACUACGUG